Molecule: ribosomal RNA, 163 nt
Filed under: uncultured bacterium
Lineage: Bacteria
Description: partial 16S ribosomal RNA
Rfam family: Bacterial small subunit ribosomal RNA
Source: RNAcentral
GGGGCGACGAGCUGGAUCCAGCCAUGGCCGCGUGUGUGAUGAUGGGCUUCCGGAUCGGAAAGCACUUUAAGUUGGGAGGAAGGGCAUUAACCUAAUACGUUAGCGCUUUCGACGUUACCGACAGAAUAAGCACCGGCUAACUCCGUGCCAGCAGCCGCGGUAA